UCAGACAUUCAUUAGUUUUUAGGCGACCCAGAUGUUUCCUGAGAGCAGCCGGGUGAGACAGAGUCCUGUUUUUAUGGCUCUAUUUGUUAAAAAGAAAUUAAAGAUGUCUAAUUUUAUCUCGCUUUUAAUUUGAUUUCGUCCAACUUUGGUGUUUAAGUAAUUUUUCCAUGUUGGUUUUAUGAGUAUAAUCAGUGUUAAUAAUAGUUAAAUGUAUUGUUAUGAAGUGUUUUAACUAUUUUAAUGGUUUAUUUUUGUUUUUGGCCUGGCGUCUUUGUGAAAAACAUCUUUACCAUAAAUUACACAGUGAAACCCAUUUUAAAUACACUACAUGAGCAAAAGUAUGUGGACACCUGAAUAUCUCAUCAUCUCAUCUGAAGCCACGAGUCCAAUCUGCUCCUGUAACGUCUUCCUCUCUUCUGCUUUCAGAGUUUCCACCAAACAUCGAGCCUGCUGCAGAGAUUUGCUCCCAUUCAGCUACAAGAACAUUACUGAGGUGUUAGGUGGUGAGUGCCCUGGCUGUCAACACGCUGUCACACGCUGGCAUUCAAGAGUUAUUGUGGCAGGACGGAUACCAAUAACCAUCUCAGAUCAGAGGGUUUCCUUUCUGAAUCCGGAGUACCCGGAGAAAACCCAAACAUGCACAGGGAGAACAUGCAAACUCCAUGCAGGAAGAUCCCAGGCUCACCCCGGGAUUUGAACCGGGGAUCUUCUUCCUGCAAGGGUGAAGGACGGGUCAAGUUAAUCCCUGGUAAUGAUCGCGGUAGAAUACCGGGGGUGCAGGUGGCAUUAAGGAGGGACAUCCCAGGUACGCGGUGGGAGGUUACGGUGCUAGGUAACCGUAUUCUGAUCCAGUGAUCUGGAUAAUCCUGGCCCUGAACUGUGAGCUUUACACUGGGUCGAGACGCCCCACUGACCUCAGCCCGGAUACAGUUUCAGCCCCGCAAACGAUUUCUCAGAGGCUCUCCCUCAGGGCGCAACAACAACAGCGACAUGAAAAGCACCUUUGUAUCAGCUGUCGUCAGCAAACAAUGACUGGAUCCAGGAAGAAUAAGUACGAUGCUUAAUCGUUACUGCGUAAUCUAGCAUUCACUACACCUUGACACACCACCACUUAUCUAGUUUCCUAUUUAGAAAAACUGACACUCUAAACACUCUCUUAGUUAUUCAUUUAGAGGACAAACUAGUGAUGUCUGACAAGCUACACUGCUGUAAUGUAAUGUUAUAAUGGAGGAAAAUUCAAUACAAAACACAUACUGCAAGUCUUAUAAUAGGUAAACAAUACCUGCUUUCACAUGUAGACACUCAAGUUACAGGUUUACUAUCAAAUUUUUGUAUCUGUUGAAGUGCAAAAAUAACACUUAAGCUCAAAAUCAGGUCUUCAAACUUCUUAAUGUGUCAUUCAGUAGUUAAAAACUCAAAAGAAGUUAAAUUUCAAUGAUUUGAAAAAGAAAUAAUGCAAUUUUUACACAUUCAGGAGGCACACGUACACAAAAAUUCUCUGUUUUUAAUCAGAUAAAUACCCACAAUUAUGAUUAAAAUCACAAUCAGCUUAUCAAUUAAUGAAUUAACUCUCACUUUGGUUUAAGUGGUGCACUACAUUUCAUGACUUAGCUAAAACUAAUCCAGUUAAACGCACCAGUCCUGCAAUAAAUCCUCUCUUGAGAUGAUUGAAAACUGUUUUAGAGAGCUGCUGAUUUAACAUGUGGAUGCAGUUUGUGUUGCUGUUGAACUGAGUGAAAGAUGUAGUGCAUUUUUACUGAUAUAAACGAGAUGAAAAUAUUAGUAGCAACGCCUCUUAGGGUAUAAAAUAAACACAAAGCAUCAACAGCUCUCUAAAACAGCCAAACGGAACAUUAAAACCAAAGUAUUCCUGGUACAUUGACACCUGAGUAGCUUUGUUGAUUGGAAAGUCUCUCCAUCAGCCUUUGAGAAACUUACCUCAGCGGCAGCUUUAAGCCUACAUCUGUGAAGACAGUGCUGCUGGAAGACGACGCCCUCGUCCGUUUACCUCUUUAAAACCCGGAUCUUUGUUUCAAGAGCCCUCUAAGAUGCCGUCACACUCCUCAGCUGACAAUCCAGUGGACCACAUCUCAGCUUCGUUGCACCGUCUGCCUCUGGAGUCUUAAAAAAACAAAAAAAAGACACACUGAGAAGAUUUGUAUCAUCACAAGGAUGGUCCAGAUUGACUUACACGCUGGAGCAGUGGAUCUGGUGACCAAUUAGAAAACUGUGGCGACAAACACCCGAUCCCUCUCGACAUGAUGGAGAGAAAAUGAGAAGGAGACCUCAGCAGGGAGCAAGCUGAGAGGGAUAAUCCCUGAUAUUUGUUCACUGAAACAGGAGAAGUGCUUUUCAGCGCCUUGCUUUGUUAAAUUUAAAUCUGUGCUGAAACACGCUGCGGCACCGUGCGGUGUGAGUGAACAUCCCCAACAUCUAGCUUCUUAGCCAAGAUGAAAUGAAGCACCUUCAGCGGGAGCGAGGCCUUUUAUCGGAGACAUUAAAAAUACAGCAGGGGCUGAAGAAGAAAAAGUGGACAAACAAGACGCUCUUUCUUAUGUUUCCUGGUUGCCAUGGCAGCUACCAAUCAGAUUAAGCAGGCCUGAGUGAGAAGGAGGUGAAAGAACGGCACAAAUCUGAUCACCUGCUGAUCUGCCAGGAUGUGAACUGAACUGAUGAGUCAUGACGGUGUGUGAGCCUGCAGGUAUUUAAUUUGUUUGUGAGCAGGGAAAUUAAAUUUUAAUGUGAAGAUGUUGUAUUUAUAUAGACUGAUACUAAAUUAGAGAGGAGAAGUCGCCUGGAUGGAGUAAAGAAAAGAUUCAUGUCAUCAAUAACAGCAUAUUGUGUCGAUUAGUUUGGAAAACGCGUUUAAAUAAGAAGCACAGUCCAGUGGAUUUGCAGUUUGUUAAUCCCGGACUUUUUGGAAAUAAUUUGACCAAAAGAUGAGUAACUUCUCUUGUCAAAAGAGCAAGAACUAAUGAUUAAAAGAGACAAAAAUGACGACAAAUAUUGCAGCUGUUUAGCAUCUUUUCAUCAUCCCUUUGUGUCUCUUUGCGGUUGUUUUGCAUUUACUUGUAUUCCUCUUCUGCCUCUUGCUUCUCUUUGUGGUCUGUUUGCAUCAAUUUCUGGUCACAUUGCAUGUUGUCGGGUUGUUUUUUCUCUCUUCACAGUUUUUCUGCACCGAUUCGUGUUCAUUCUGCAGCUCUUUUUAGUUGGUUUGGUGUCAUUUUGUAUUGCUUUUUUCAAUUGUUUCUUCUCUUUAUGCUCUGUUUGCAACUCUUUCUAGUCAUUUUUUCAUGUCACAUUGCUCCGUUUGUUCCUCUUUGCCGUUGUCGUGUGAUGGUUCUGUCAUUUUGUGGUCGGUUUGCAUCUAUUUGUGGUCAAAAUGACUGUGUGGUUCAGUGACUUUAUGGUCUGUUUGCAUCUUUAUAUUAUUGAACAUUCCAAUAUUGCACUGUUUUUAACUUAUUUUUUUCUGGCACUUUUGCUGCCAGAUGUUUACGGAUUUUUACAGUGCAUAUUGGUUCCAAAUAUCAGUUACUGAUCUCCUUGGUAAAUUAGUAUCAGCUCUAAAAACAACACAUUGUGACAAUUAAGUGUGAGAAGCAAGAAAUGCAUAAUUUGAGAUGUUUUAUAAUUAAUAUUUUUUAGUGCAUUCAGUGUAAACUCCCCCCAAAAAGGCACAAAUUAACUUUUUCCAUAGUAAAUUGUGUAUUCACUGUCCCUUAUCUUUUCAAAAUUUACAUGAAGAAAAAUAUUUUCUACUUUAAUUUACUAGUACGAGUGUCUUCUUCAAUUUAAGCUAUUAAUUGUGGUUCUAUGAUCCUUACAUAAGAUAAGAAGUUACUAAAUAGAAAAGAGUUGAUGGGGGCUUCUUAUGUAGAC
Long non-coding RNA from Acanthochromis polyacanthus (spiny chromis), 3882 nucleotides. RefSeq lists it as uncharacterized. The record is from RefSeq and is a predicted model, not a curated record. NCBI's taxonomy places the organism in Eukaryota, Metazoa, Chordata, Actinopteri, Pomacentridae. The transcript has 5 exons.